GAGUUUGAUCCUGGCUCAGAACGUACGCUGGCGGCACGCCUAACACAUGCAAGUCGAACGAAGUAGCAAUACUUAGUGGCAGACGGGUGAGUAACAUGUAGGUAUCUGCCCUUUGGCCUGGAAUAACACGAGGAAACUUGUGCUAAUACCGGAUAAGUCUUUACGGAGAAAGCUUUAUGCACCAUUGGAUGAGCCUGCACUUGAUUAGUUUGUUGGUGGGGUAAUGGCCUACCAAGACUGUGAUCAAUAGCUGAUUUGAGAGGAUGAUCAGCCACAUUGGGACUGAGACACGGCCCAAACUCCUACGGGAGGCAGCAGUGGGGAAUCUUGCACAAUGGAGGAAACUCUGAUGCAGCGAUGCCGCGUGAGUGAAGAAGGCCCUUGGGUUGUAAAGCUCUUUCGUCGGGGAAGAAAAUGACUGUACCCGAAUAAGAAGGUCCGGCUAACUUCGUGCCAGCAGCCGCGGUAAUACGAAGGGACCUAGCGUAGUUCGGAAUUACUGGGCUUAAAGAGUUCGUAGGUGGUUGAAAAAGUUAGUGGUGAAAUCCCAGAGCUUAACUCUGGAACUGCCAUUAAAACUUUUCAGCUAGAGUAUGAUAGAGGAAAGCAGAAUUUCUAGUGUAGAGGUGAAAUUCGUAGAUAUUAGAAAGAAUACCAAUUGCGAAGGCAGCUUUCUGGAUCAUUACUGACACUGAGGAACGAAAGCAUGGGUAGCGAAGAGGAUUAGAUACCCUCGUAGUCCAUGCCGUAAACGAUGUGUGUUAGACGUUGGAAAUUUAUUUUCAGUGUCGCAGGGAAACCGAUAAACACACCGCCUGGGGAGUACGACCGCAAGGUUAAAACUCAAAUGAAUUGACGGGGACCCGCACAAGUAGUGGAGCAUGUGGUUUAAUUCGAAGAUACGCGCAGAACCUUACCAACACUUGACAUGUUCGUCGCGACUCUAAGAGAUUAGAGUUUUCGGUUCGGCCGGACGAAACACAGGUGCUGCAUGGCUGUCGUCAGCUCGUGUCGUGAGAUGUUGGGUUAAGUCCCGCAACGAGCGCAACCCUCACUUUUAGUUGCCAUCAUUAAGUUGGGCACUCUGAAAGAACUGCCAGUGAUAAGCUGGAGGAAGGUGGGGAUGACGUCAAGUCAUCAUGGCCCUUACGUGUUGGGCUACACACGUGCUACAAUGGUAUCUACAACAGGAAGCAAGACUGCGAAGUUAAGCAAAUCCCUAAAAGAUACCUCAGUUCGGAUUGCACUCUGCAACUCGAGUGCAUGAAGCUGGAAUUACUAGUAAUCGUGGAUCAGCGUGCCACGGUGAAUGCGUUCCCGGGUCUUGUACACACCGCCCGUCACACCAUGGGAGUUGGUUCUACCUUAAGGCAAGGUUUCAAACCCUUGACCACGGUAUAGUCAGCGUCUGGGGUGAAGUCGUAACAAGGUAACC
This 1435-nucleotide ribosomal RNA is filed under the name uncultured marine bacterium. RNAcentral's name for it is "bacterial SSU rRNA". It matches the Rfam family "Bacterial small subunit ribosomal RNA". The record is from RNAcentral.